GAUGAACGCUGGCGGCGUGCCUAAUACAUGCAAGUCGAGCGACAAGACGAGGAGCUUGCUCCUCUGCCGUUAGCGGCGGACGGGUGAGUAACACGUGGAUAACUUACCUAUAAGACUGGGUUAACUUCGGGAAACCUGAGCUAUUACCCGAUAAGAUUUUGAACCGAAUGGUUCAUUAGUGAAAGGCGGUUUUUCUGUCACUUUUAGAUGGUUCCGAGCCGCAUUAGUUAGUUGGUAAGGAAACGGCAUACCAAGGCGACGAUGCGUAGCCGACCUGAGAGGGAGGUCGCCUAGACGGGAACUGAGAAACGGUCCAGAGUCUGGAGGUAGGCAGCAGUAGGGAAUCCUACGCAAGGGGCGAGAGACGGACGGAGCAACGCCGGGGGAGGGAUGAAGGUCUUAGGAUCGGAAAACGCUGUUAGUAGGGAAGAACAAAUGUGUAAGUAACUAUGCACGACUUGACGGUACCUAAUCAGAAAGCCACGGCUAACUACGUG
Molecule: ribosomal RNA, 497 nt
Filed under: uncultured bacterium
Lineage: Bacteria
Description: partial 16S ribosomal RNA
Rfam family: Bacterial small subunit ribosomal RNA
Source: RNAcentral